Molecule: ribosomal RNA, 407 nt
Filed under: uncultured bacterium
Lineage: Bacteria
Description: partial 16S ribosomal RNA
Rfam family: Bacterial small subunit ribosomal RNA
Source: RNAcentral
GACGAACGCUGGCGGCGUGCCUAAUACAUGCAAGUAGGACGCAGUUGCGAACGGGAGAGUAACGCGUAGGUAACUGCAUAUGAGAGGGGGAUAACUAUUGGAAACGAUAGCUAAUAACGCAUACUAGUAGAAUGACCUGCGUUGUAUUAGCUAGUAGGUAGGGUAAUGGCCUAACUAGGCAACGAUACAUAGCCGACCUGAGAGGGGGAUCUGCCACACUGGGAACGAGACACGGGCCAGACUCCUACGGGAGGCAGCAGUAGGGAAUCUUUGGCAAUGGGGGGAACGCUGACCGAGCAACGCCGCGUGAGUGAAGAAGGUUUUCGGAUCGGAAAGCUCUGUUGUUAAGGGAGCGUUACUUAACCAGAAAGGGACGGCUAACUCCGUGCCAGCAGCCGCGGUAAUAC